UGCAACAACCUGACCGCAACCAUGUGCAACCCGAAAGCCAAGCACUCCUGCUCUGUCGUCGGAUGCACGGACACUCAUGUUUCCCUACAUUGCCUUCCUACCAAAGAGAAGCGAAGCGAAGUAGCUAAAUUUUAUUUUUCAGGGAAACGUCCCAGCUUCACUGAGCAAAAGCGUUGUUGUCUAUGCCAAUCACUUAACACCGGACUGUUUCAGCAACCAGGGUCAGUAUCAGGCUGGACUGGCAACGAGAUUGUUCCUCAAAGAUGGAUCAAUACCCACUGUCCGUGUCAACGCCACAGAAGAAUAAACUCCAAGCACAUCUGUACAGCAGUCUGUAGUGCAUCAUGUUGCCUGCCAGACAGACCAACCAGUGAAAUGCACGGUUGGCACACAGCUUUCCAUGAGAACUCUCCCGCCUCACUUCAGAAGCACAGACUCUACCUGACUGCCCUGCAUUACAAUGAAAAUACUGACCGACCACAGGCAACAUCUACAGGUGGAGAGCUUCUGUACAGUCAACUUCCCCAAAUCUAACCAUGGAAAAUGAACUGCAAAGCCUGUGAAAG
Molecule: long non-coding RNA, 566 nt
Organism: Acanthopagrus latus (yellowfin seabream)
Lineage: Eukaryota; Metazoa; Chordata; Actinopteri; Spariformes; Sparidae
Exons: 3
Source: RefSeq, a predicted model, not a curated record